This 450-nucleotide ribosomal RNA is filed under the name uncultured bacterium. RNAcentral's name for it is "bacterial SSU rRNA". It matches the Rfam family "Bacterial small subunit ribosomal RNA", at positions 354 to 796 of the family's 1533-position model. The record is from RNAcentral.
GUGGGGAAUAUUGGACAAUGGGCGAAAGCCUGAUCCAGCCAUGCCGCGUGUGUGAAGAAGGUCUUCGGAUUGUAAAGCACUUUAAGUUGGGAGGAAGGGCAGUAAGUUAAUACCUUGCUGUUUUGACGUUACCGACAGAAUAAGCACCGGCUAACUUCGUGUCAGCAGCCGCGGUAAUACGAAGGGUGCAAGCGUUAAUCGGAAUUACUGGGCGUAAAGCGCGCGUAGGUGGUUUUGUAAGUUGGAGGUGAAAUCCCCGGGCUCAACCUGGGAACUGCCUCCAAAACUGCAUGACUAGAGUACGGUAGAGGGUAGUGGAAUUUCCUGUGUAGCGGUGAAAUGCGUAGAUAUAGGAAGGAACACCAGUGGCGAAGGCGACUACCUGGACUGAUACUGACACUGAGGUGCGAAAGCGUGGGGAGCAAACAGGAUUAGAUACCCGGGUAGUCC